UUCAUAUUAUUAAACUUGGUCAAGGCUACUUCAACUUUUAGAUUUCAAAUUUUGUUAUUUUACGACAUCAUUUAUAUAUCUAUUAUUGGAGUGGUCUCAAAAAUAAUAAUUUUUAACGGCUAAUAUAAAGUGAAUUUGAGAUCACUUGACAGCUAGACAGAUGGUUUUCUAAAAUCACUAAAAGGUAAAUUCUUAAAAAAUUAUAUAGUUUAAGUCGUGUUCAACUGUACCAAGUGUUGAUUUGGAUUUUUUAUUGUGGGGGAAAUGAUGCAAAAGUAAACUCCUCCGUUCAGCUUAUUAUUCUUGGU
This 308-nucleotide long non-coding RNA is filed under the name Ananas comosus (pineapple). RNAcentral's name for it is "long non-coding RNA (ACOM_LNC011482)". The record is from RNAcentral. Lineage: Eukaryota; Viridiplantae; Streptophyta; Magnoliopsida; Poales; Bromeliaceae.